Molecule: ribosomal RNA, 380 nt
Filed under: uncultured eukaryote
Lineage: Eukaryota
Description: partial 18S ribosomal RNA
Rfam family: Eukaryotic small subunit ribosomal RNA
Source: RNAcentral
CAAUAGCGUAUAUUAAAGUUGUUGCAGUUAAAAAGCUCGUAGUUGGAUUUGUGGCGUACGGUGUGUUCCGGGCACUUGUUGUCUGAGUAACCUGCUGUUGCCAUCCUUGGGUGGAACCUGUGUGGCAUUAGGUUGUCGUGCAGGGGAUGCCCAUCAUUUACUGUGAAAAAAUUAGAGUGUUCAAAGCAGGCUUAUGCCGCUGAAUAUAUUAGCAUGGAAUAAUGAGAUAGGACUUUUUUGCUAUUUUGUUGGUUUGCGCAAGAAGGUAAUGAUUAAUAGGGACAGUUGGGGGUAUUCGUAUUCCAUUGUCAGAGGUGAAAUUCUUGGAUUUUUGGAAGACGAACUACUGCGAAAGCAUUUACCAAGGAUGUUUUCAUUAA